UAAAAGGGUCGGUUGGCUAAAUAUGCCACGCCCACCCUCGUUUGGUGGGUGCCGUAUGGCUAUCAAGACAUAUGGCCGACACAAUUUGUGGAAUCCUACAGGGUUGGCUCGCUCGGCCGACCCUCCA
This is a small nuclear RNA of Hibiscus syriacus, 127 nucleotides long. RefSeq annotates it as U11 spliceosomal RNA. Lineage: Eukaryota; Viridiplantae; Streptophyta; Magnoliopsida; Malvales; Malvaceae. The transcript has a single exon. The record is from RefSeq and is a predicted model, not a curated record.